RNAcentral lists this ribosomal RNA (250 nucleotides) under uncultured bacterium. RNAcentral's name for it is "partial 16S ribosomal RNA". It matches the Rfam family "Bacterial small subunit ribosomal RNA", at positions 524 to 773 of the family's 1533-position model. The record is from RNAcentral.
UACGAAGGGGGCGAGCGUUGUUCGGAAUCACUGGGCGUAAAGGGCGCGCAGGCGGUCUCUCAAGUCAGAUGUGAAAGCCCCGGGCUCAACCUGGGAAUUGCAUUUGAGACUGGGAGACUUGAGGACGGGAGAGGAGAGUGGAAUUCCCAGUGUAGAGGUGAAAUUCGUAGAUAUUGGGAAGAACACCAAUGGCGAAGGCAGCUCUCUGGACCGUUACUGACGCUGAGGCGCGAAAGCGUGGGGAGCAAAC